UCCUACGGGGGGCAGCAGUAGGGAAUCUUCCACAAUGGGCGAAAGCCUGAUGGAGCAACGCCGCGUGGGUGAAGAAGGUCUUCGGAUCGUAAAACCCUGUUGUUAGAGAAGAAAGUGCGUGAGAGUAACUGUUCACAUUUCGACGGUAUCUAACCAGAAAGCCACGGCUAACUACGUGCCAGCAGCCGCGGUAAUACGUAGGUGGCAAGCGUUAUCCGGAUUUAUUGUGCGUAAAGGGAACGCAGGCGGUCUUUUAAGUCUGAUGUGAAAGCCUUCGUCUUCACCGGAGUAGUGCAUUGGAAACU
Molecule: ribosomal RNA, 305 nt
Filed under: uncultured bacterium
Lineage: Bacteria
Description: bacterial SSU rRNA
Rfam family: Bacterial small subunit ribosomal RNA
Source: RNAcentral